This is a non-coding RNA of Triticum aestivum (bread wheat), 135 nucleotides long. Lineage: Eukaryota; Viridiplantae; Streptophyta; Magnoliopsida; Poales; Poaceae. The record is from Rfam.
CAUCUACUUCCUCUGUUCCGAAUUACUUGUCUUGGAUUUGUCUAGAUACAAAUGUAUCUAGACUCAUUUUAGUGCUAGAUACUUUCGUAUCUAUACAAAUCCAAGACAAGUAAUUUGGAACGGAGGGAGUAGUUA